RNAcentral lists this ribosomal RNA (1381 nucleotides) under metagenome. RNAcentral describes it as "bacterial LSU rRNA". It matches the Rfam family "Bacterial large subunit ribosomal RNA", at positions 1562 to 2925 of the family's 2925-position model. The record is from RNAcentral.
CGCAAUGCCGAGCCGUUUAAGGCGAAGUCACUAAUCCCAUGCUGCCAAGAAAAGCCUCUAGAGAGCUUGCACGGUACCCGUACCCCAAACCGACACAGGUGGGCAGGUAGAGAAUACCAAGGCGAUCGGGAGAACUGUGGUUAAGGAACUCGGCAAAAUGCCUCCGUAACUUCGGGAGAAGGAGGACCCCAUCAGGGUGAAGGACCUCGCGUCCGGAGCUCGAAGGGGUGGCACAGACCAGGGGAAAGCGACUGUUUACUAAAAACACAGCAGCGUGCGAAGUCGUAAGACGAUGUAUACGCUGUGACGCCUGCCCAAUGCCGGAAGGUUAAAGGGAAAGGUUGGCCCGCAAGGGCGAAGCUUUGAACUGAAGCCCCGGUGAAUGGCGGCCGUAACUAUAACGGUCCUAAGGUAGCGAAAUUCCUUGUCGGGUAAGUUCCGACCUGCACGAAUGGCGUAACGACUUUCCUACUGUCUCAACCACAGACCCGGCGAAAUUGAAGUACGAGUAAAGAUGCUCGUUAGCUGCAGAAGGACGGAAAGACCCCGUGGACCUUUACUAUAGCUUGAUGUUGAGUUUUGUUAUGUGUUGUGUAGGAUAGGUGGGAGACUUGGAAGCAUUGGCGCCAGCCAGUGUGGAGUCAACCUUGAAAUACCACCCUGCUCAUGACGGAGCUCUAACCCACGCCCCUGAUCGGGAUGGGGAACAGCGUCUGGUGGGUAGUUUGACUGGGGCGGUCGCCUCCUAAAGAGUAACGGAGGCGCCCAAAGGUUCCCUCAGGCUGGUUGGCAAUCAGCCGUCGAGUGCAAUGGCACAAGGGAGCUUGACUGCGAGACCUACAAGUCAAGCAGGUGCGAAAGCAGGGCAUAGUGAUCCGGCGGUUGCGUGUGGAAGCGCCGUCGCUCAACGGAUAAAAGGUACCCCGGGGAUAACAGGCUCAUCUUCCCCAAGAGUCCAUAUCGACGGGAAGGUUUGGCACCUCGAUGUCGGCUCAUCGCAUCCUGGGGCUGAAGCAGGUCCCAAGGGUUGGGCUGUUCGCCCAUUAAAGCGGUACGCGAGCUGGGUUUAGAACGUCGUGAGACAGUUCGGUCCCUAUCCUCUGCAGCCGGAAGGAACUUGAGAAAAUCUGUCCCUAGUACGAGAGGACCGGGAUGGACGCAGCUCUCGUGUGCCAGUUGUCCUGCCAAGGGCACUGCUGGUUAGCGACCUGCGGAAGGGAUAAGCGCUGAAAGCAUCUAAGUGCGAAGCCUAUUUCUAGAUGAGGUUCCUCACUGGGUUAACCAGGUAAGGCCCGUGAUAGACCAACACGUUGAUAGGCCGGAAGUGUAAGCGUGGUAACACGUUCAGCUGACCGGUACUAAUCGGCCGAGGGCUUGGAUC